Molecule: long non-coding RNA, 1148 nt
Filed under: Junco hyemalis (dark-eyed junco)
Lineage: Eukaryota; Metazoa; Chordata; Aves; Passeriformes; Passerellidae
Description: lncRNA (ENSJHYG00000015820.1)
Source: RNAcentral
AAGAAAAUCCUAAAAUUUGGGGGAAAAUACUUUAAUUUGGUGGGGAAAAUGUGAAAAAUUGGAGGAAAAAAAAUUUAAAAAUAUGGGGGAGAAAAUAUAAAAAAUUGGAGGAAAAAAACUUUAAAAUUUGGGGGAAAAAAUUCAGAAAAUGGAGAGAAAAAAGAAAAAAAAUCUGAAAAUUUAAUGGGGAAAAAAUCUGAAAAUUUAAUAGGGAAAAAAUAUUCCAGAAUUCAGGAAGAAACCCCAAAAAAUUGAGGAGAAAAUUCUGAAAAUUUGAGGGAAAAAAUCCCAAAAUUUGGUGGGAAAAAUCCCAAAAUUAAGGGAAAAAAUCCGCAAAAAUUUGAGGGGAAAAAGUCCCAAAAAAUGGGGAAAAAAAUUUAAAAAUUAAUAGAAAAUAUCCCAAAAUUUGGGGAGAAAAUUCCAAAAAAAUCCUUCAAAAUUCAGGAAAAAAUAUUCAAAUUUUAUUAAAAAUAAUCCUCAAAUUUCGGUCAAAUUUCUUCAAAAUUUGGGAGAAAAUCCCCCAAAAUUUCACCUCAAAAAUCCCAAAAUUUGGAGUAAAAUCUCCAAAAUUCUGAACAAAAAAAUUCCCAAAUUUUGGAUUAAAAAAUUCCCAAAAUUUUGGGAAAAAUUCCCAAAAUUUUGGGGUCAAAUUCCCCAAAUUUGGGGUCGAUCCCCCCCCAGUGUGAAAGGAGUGCGCAUGUAAAUGAGCUGUAUGCAAAUGAGGCGUAUGCAAAUGAGAGAUAUUUAAAAGAGCAAUAUGUAAAUGAGGCAAGAGGACAAGACCUCAACAGCACUUUAUGCAAAUGAGGUGUAUGCAAAUGAGGCAAUGGGGUCGUUUGGGGGGUUAUGGGAGGUUGAUGACGUCAUCGGGGUGGGAGGGGAAAUUUGGGGCCAAAUUCCCAAAUUUGGGCAUCGAUGACGUCACUGUGGGCGGGGCCAGGGGGGAUUUUGGGCUGAAAUUCCCAAAUUUUGGGGUCCCCGGGAUCAUUUUGGGGUCAAAUUCCGGAAUUUUGGGGUUUCUGGGCUGAUUUUGGGUCAAAAUUUUGCAUUUUUGGGGUCCCAGGACCCAAUUUUGGGGCCGAUUUCCCAAAUUUUGGGGCUCAAUUCCCGAAUUUUUGCCUCCCCUUUCCAUAUUUUGGGGUGCAGAA